Molecule: RNase P RNA, 727 nt
Filed under: Hydnomerulius pinastri MD-312
Lineage: Eukaryota; Fungi; Basidiomycota; Agaricomycetes; Boletales
Description: Nuclear RNase P
Rfam family: Nuclear RNase P
About the family: Ribonuclease P (RNase P) is a ubiquitous endoribonuclease, found in archaea, bacteria and eukarya as well as chloroplasts and mitochondria. Its best characterised activity is the generation of mature 5'-ends of tRNAs by cleaving the 5'-leader elements of precursor-tRNAs.
Source: Rfam by way of RNAcentral
ACAGUUCGAAAGCUACGAGGCUCACCACGUACAAGACGCGACUCGCUCGCGUCUUCCCUCAUGAGCGGGCUAAGGUCUGAGCGUUUCAAUCUCCCUCGAUCGUCUCUAGCCGGGACCAGUCCUAAUGGACUGCGCGACGUACCAGAAAAUCAGUUGCCAACUGCGUAAUGGUCAACUUUGAAAGCGUUGCGGGGAUCGGGCGGGCGAUUUUUCCCCUUCCAUCAUACGCGGAUCGGUGCUCUCUCUAUCGCGGCGGGAUAGUGUCCUUUCGAGGACGCACACGGAGCCAGUGCGGAUCGAUGUACCGCCUCGGGCGACAGCCAGGAGGCAGAGGGGCAGUACGGUGUACGGAUUGCGUAUACAGGCUGCUAUUGAGCUAUAUUAGCUUGGGCGACAUUGAUUCGCCUAUGUAGAGACAGCCUCAAGUGACACGUCGUCACCCUCUAUGUGUGGCAGACAUGCCAUACUGGACAUACUUAACUGACCCAUGGUCAGGACUGGACGAAAAAGUCAGUAUCAUCGAUCCAGGCUACGCUGUACCUCCUAGAUCUGUCAUUUAGGCAGUGGCGCGACCGUUCCGCCAUAUCGGCGUGAUAGUGUCGUGCGCCGUACGAGGAGAGGAGCUGAUCUGUCGGUUUGGUAUAGGGCCGUCCGUCCUUCAGUUCACUUCGUGGCUCGCGGGCACUGGCUGCCUUGCGAAACUCGAUUCAGACUACUCUCGGACUGU